Molecule: unclassified non-coding RNA, 298 nt
Filed under: uncultured fungus
Lineage: Eukaryota; Fungi
Description: sequence contains ITS2
Source: RNAcentral
AACGCAAAUUGCACUUCUUGGUAUUCCGAGGAGUAUGCUUGCUUGAGGGUUUGGUCUACAAAAAGAUCGUAAAUUUUUUUACGGAUCUGGGCUUUCCGAGUUUUCCGACUGCGGUUGCCUAAAAUUUAUCUUAACAACGUGAUGUUAAUUAGAAAUGUUCUAUCUUACAUAUUGUAAGUUCAUUGAUAAUUAUGCUAGUUGUUAUAUCGCGUUAUUCAUCUAGUAUCUUUGAUUAGGUGAAAUAAUUCAAUUUUUUUAAUCCUACCUCAAGUCAAGCAAGGGUACCCGCUGAACUUAA